Molecule: unclassified non-coding RNA, 359 nt
Filed under: uncultured Glomerales
Lineage: Eukaryota; Fungi; Glomeromycota; Glomeromycetes; Glomerales; Glomeraceae
Description: sequence contains 18S rRNA gene
Source: RNAcentral
CGUAAGGUGCCGAAUGAGUCAUUAAAAAUUAACAUCAUCCGAUCCCUAGUCGGCAUAGUUUAUGGUUAAGACUACGACGGUAUCUGAUCGUCUUCGAUCCCCUAACUUUCGUUCUUGAUUAAUGAAAACAUCCUUGGCAAAUGCUUUCGCAGUAGUUAGUCUUCAAUAAAUCCAAGAAUUUCACCUCUGACAAUUGAAUACUAAUGCCCCCAACUAUCCCUAUUAAUCAUUACGUCGAUCCUAGAAACCAACAAAAUAGGAUCAAACGUCCUAUUUCGUUAUUCCAUGCUAAUCUAUUCAAGCUUAAAGCUUGCUUUAAACACUCUAAUUUUUUCAAAGUAACAGUCCUGAUUCCCCAC